AGAGUUUGAUCCUGGCUCAGAAUGAACGCUGGCGGCGUGCUUAACACAUGCAAGUCGAACGAGAAAGGGAUUGCUUGCAAUCCUGAGUAGAGUGGCGCACGGGUGAGUAACACGUAGAUAAUCUACCUUCAAGCCCGGGAUAACCCUUCGAAAGGAUGGCUAAUACCGGAUGCAGUUUCAGUACACAAGUGCUGAGAUGAAAGAUUGCCUCUUCAUGAAAGCAAUUGUUUGGAGAUGAGUUUGCGUACCAUUAGCUUGUUGGUGGGGUAAAAGCCUACCAAGGCUGCGAUGGUUAGCUGGUCUGAGAGGAUGAUCAGUCACACUGGAACUGGAACACGGUCCAGACUCCUACGGGAGGCAGCAGUGAGGAAUUUUGCGCAAUGGGGGAAACCCUGACGCAGCAACGCCGCGUGAGUGAAGAAGGCCCUUGGGUCGUAAAGCUCUGUCAACUGGGAAGAAGUUGUUAUUGUUUAAUAGAUGAUAGCAUUGACGGUACCAGUGGAGGAAG
RNAcentral lists this ribosomal RNA (508 nucleotides) under uncultured delta proteobacterium. RNAcentral's name for it is "bacterial SSU rRNA". It matches the Rfam family "Bacterial small subunit ribosomal RNA", at positions 8 to 490 of the family's 1533-position model. The record is from RNAcentral. Lineage: Bacteria; Deltaproteobacteria.